This is a long non-coding RNA of Orcinus orca (killer whale), 2778 nucleotides long. RefSeq lists it as uncharacterized. The record is from RefSeq and is a predicted model, not a curated record. The transcript is spliced from 2 exons. Lineage: Eukaryota; Metazoa; Chordata; Mammalia; Artiodactyla; Delphinidae.
UGUACCUAUUCCCCAAACAGAAACAGAAGAAUAUAAGUUUUAGGAGGUGGGAAUAAAGAGAAGCAAAGUUGUCUGCUGGAACAAGAGACAAUUCACCAGAGAACUUAUUUUCUCCAAAACAUCAAAUGCAUUUCAAAGUGGAACACCACACUUUAUGAGAAAGUUUAUCACUGAAAAGCUUCAUGUAAAUGGAAUAUUUUUAAACGAUGCAAAGAAAAGAACUUUUCCAGGAAUCCUUCAGAGAGGCUGAUAAUCAGAUCCUAAUUAUCAAUGUUGUCAACGUGGAUUUGGGGGUGUUACUUAAAAGCAACAACAACAACAAAAUGCUCACUGGAAGGUACCUGUUUCACCAAUCAGUGCAGUCAACCCGGAUGUCUGUUGUUGCUCCUUUGACUUUCUGCAUUUGGUCAUUUCACUGUUAACUUUUACACCAGAGAGUAGAUGAAAGGAAAUGAAACUUAGUUUGAUUAUUUAUGAGGAACUGUGAUGAAAACUGUAGUUCCAGACAGAUCUACUGACCACAGCAGUUUUAGAAUUCUCCGAGGAUUUUGUUUGUUCUUUUUUUUCCUUUGUGCCUUUUCUUUCAAAUCAACCAGUUAAAGAUGAUACCCUUCAGUCUCUUGUGGCGUCAGUACAACUGUUUUUCUGCUAGUUCUCCCUCUCGUGACUAAAUGGUGUUCACAAGAAGCCAGUCAAUAAUCUUACCUGUUAUUUGUUCAGCAUAUGUACAGACUAACUGCACUUUACAGUUUCUUAGAACUGCUUUCUAUCAACACUCAGGAUAAUGAGAGAGAAAGGACCAAGCUUAUCCAAUCUGGAUUUUGUUUCUUUGCUGUCCUCUAGUGAUAUUAAAAGAUAUCAUAAAAUUCCUGGGAAAGGAGAAAUAACUGGAAAACUAAACAUUUACAUUUAUUCUAAUUUUUAAAGUAUGCAAGUAAAUUUCGUUGGGAGAAGUGAGCAGAGGGAGAUAACAAGUGGGGAAUAGAGACUGUGGAAAACAUCUGAUGAUAGAGUGAUGAAAUUCCAAAGGGGCUGGAAUUGCUCCUCUGGGCAUAGUGACCACCUGAACAGCUGCAGAUGUCUUUAACUGAAGCACUGUGCCUUUACUGAUAACUCGGUAGCAUAUAAACAUUUUUUUCCUUUAAUCAUUAGGUUGUUGAUUCCUGUGGAGGAUGAACAUAGUGGAUGCCUCACAUUUUCAGCACUGCUGUACAGUCUCAUUGGAUCUUCAUUAUGUGUCUGUAGAACAGAUGCUCUAUUUCACAGAGCAGGAAACUAUGGAUAAGCAGUUCAGCGCCUGUUCCAAGAUAAAUCAGCCAAUAAAUGGCAAGUCAACAGGAACCCAGCUCCUGUGAUAUCUUGUCUAACAGAUGCUUUACAGUCCUACAUGAACGCAGUCAUACCAGCACACACAGGCUCCAAAUGCCCUGUCUCACCUUACAUUCAUCUGAACAUGCUGUGGGGAUUAAGUCCUUGUGAAGUUCUAGCAUGUAACUUUUAGCAUAUGUAACUAUUUUUUAAAAAAUAAUUUCACUGAUAUUCUAAUUGCAUUCAAACAUCAUUUGCCUGGUUUUAUUUCUUUUUUCCAUAGUCCUUUAGCCCUUUGAGCAUAUUUAAGAUAACUGACUUAGAAGUCUAUCUAGUAAGUCUGAUGUCUGGCCUUCCUCAGGGACAGUUUCUGUUGAGGUAUUUUUUCCCUAUGAAUGGGCCCUACUUUCCUGUUUCUGUGUAUGCUUUGUGACUUUUUGUUGGAAACUGGACAUCUAAACAUUAUCAUGUGGUAACUAGAAUCAGGUUCUCCCCUGCCUCACAGUCUGCUGCUGUUGAUUGAUAGGGACUGUAGUCAUCCAUUUGUUUUGUGACCUUUCCAAACUAAUUUUGCAAAGACUAUUCCUCCUCUGGCGUGCUCACUGAUGUCUCUGUUCGGUUAUCUCAGGUGGUCAGCCAGUGACUUGUCAGAGAUUUCCUUGAAGGCCAAAACUCAGAUGUCCUCUUCUUCAUUAAGCAGUCCGCUGGUCCAUUAACAAGUGUGUUAGAAGCAACCUUUUAUAUACCUGAUGAAGUGCUCCUGCUGGUAAGACGAUGGCAUCACCAAGGAACUGAAUAAGAGUGCAGGCUUUGACUCCAUAUUCCUCAAGCAGUCUUUGGCGAAGCUUUUUGUUCACAUACCAACUCUGGUCACGAAUUGGAUCAUGUUCUGGUAGAACUUCAAGGCCUUGUUCUUUUGAAAUCUGAAAUAUAGAUUAAAAUGAAAAUAUAUACCCCAAUUUAAGUAAAGAAAAUGGUAAAUCCUGUUCAGUUAAAUUUCAGUUUUCUUUACAAUAACAGUCUGUUCUCAGAAUCUUCUGAAACGACGACUGAGCCUAAGUUACAGAAAAUGAUAUUCUACAAUUGGAAAAGCCAAAGGACAUGAAAACAAUAUUGCACACUGAUACGCUAUUAAUAAAGUAAAUCAUACUCCCUUACCUUCUUCCACUAUGAAGUUUUAUUAACUAUUAUUUAUUUCUUUUUCAGUCUUUUUUUUGGGGGGCUGCACCGUGCAACAUGUGGGAUCUUAGUUCCCUGACGAGGGAUCAGACUCGUGCCCCCUGCAGUCGGAAGCACAGAGCCCUAACCACUGGUACGACAGGGAAUUCUCUCUACUAUGAAGCUUUCAUCCAUUUGGUUCCUUACAAUUAUUUUAAGAGUAUAGCACAAAGACGGGGAAAAGCUUAGUUUAGUAACUUUUUUCCAAAAGCCAAACCAUUUGAAUGUGUGGACAUCAUAAACAUUCAUUCA